Molecule: long non-coding RNA, 775 nt
Organism: Cottoperca gobio
Lineage: Eukaryota; Metazoa; Chordata; Actinopteri; Perciformes; Bovichtidae
Exons: 3
Source: RefSeq, a predicted model, not a curated record
UGCUGACCACAGAGCAGCUCGAUGAAAAGCAGCAGACGAGCUGGUUAUUGAUUUCUGAAGGUGGCAACUGUGAUGUGAUGGAAGUCCAUCAGAGGACGCUGUCAACUAUUCAUAAGCUCUGGCAGAGGAAAUCGAGGUCGCCUGUCUGGGAGACUCUAUCGACAGCGGUUUCUCUCAGAGCUUCAGCUCUCCAGAUCCAUAUAAAGAACAACAUUUAUGACGACUGGAGGGAGACAAGGGGUUUCCCAUGACUCUGUCAAGAUGCCAUGUUGCGACGCUAGCAAGACGCUCAAAGGAGGUUUCAGCGCUCUAAUGAACCAUCUGGACCGUUUCUCUCUCGUUUAUGGAGUUGUGAACAAUUAUGGCUACAAGAUGGGAUCCAUAAAAACAACUAUAGAGCUUUAUUACGACGCGUUAAAGUCUUUUCCCAAGGCUAAGUGUGUGUGUGUGUGUGUGUGUGUGUUAAGCCUUUUGGGUUUAUUUUAGACACUCUCAUUUGAGACAAAGAAAUUGCCUCAUACUCUCAUAAACUAGAAUGCAACAUAAACUCUUUCGUCUUUCUCAUCUUCUGCUUCAUCUUUUCCUCAAAUAUAAAUAUUCUAUGUACAAAUUUUUUGGGGAUCUCCAUAUAAACUUCUUCCAAAGAUUCAGCCUGACAGAGAUGUGACCAAACCUCCGGGGAGUGGCAUUCAUUUUGGGGCCCCCCAGAAUUCCCACAGGGGACCCUGAGAGUCCCUUGAGUACAAUUUGAGACAAUUUUGCUUCAGUUUUUAUG